GAUGAACGCUGGCGGCGUGCCUCAAACAUGCAAGUCGAGCGGGGCUAUGUAAUAUCGCAAGGUAGAACAUAGCCUAGCGGCGAACGGGUGAGUAACACGUGGGUAACCUGCCUGGAAGACAGGGAUAACGAUUCGAAAGGGUCGCUAAUACCUGAUAAUAUCCUUUCAUCGCAUGGUGAUAGGAAGAAAGGGGAAACCCGCUUUCAGAUGGGCCCGCGUCCCAUCAGCUAGUUGGUAAGGUAAAGGCUUACCAAGGCGACGACGGGUAGCCGGUCUGAGAGGAUGUACGGCCACACUGGGACUGAGAUACGGCCCAGACUCCUACGGGAGGCAGCAGUUGGGAAUCUUAGGCAAUGGACGAAAGUCUGACCUAGCGACGCCGCGUGAGGGAAGAAGGCCUUGGGUUGUAAACCUCUGUCAUGGGGAAGAAGUAAGUGACGGUACCCCGAAAGGAAGCCCCUGCUAACUACGUG
RNAcentral lists this ribosomal RNA (473 nucleotides) under uncultured bacterium. RNAcentral describes it as "bacterial SSU rRNA". It matches the Rfam family "Bacterial small subunit ribosomal RNA", at positions 28 to 507 of the family's 1533-position model. The record is from RNAcentral.